Molecule: ribosomal RNA, 451 nt
Filed under: uncultured bacterium
Lineage: Bacteria
Description: partial 16S ribosomal RNA
Rfam family: Bacterial small subunit ribosomal RNA
Source: RNAcentral
AACGAACGCUGGCGGCAGGCUUAACACAUGCAAGUCGAACGCGUGUAGCAAUACACGAGUGGCGCACGGGUGAGUAACACGUGGAUAUCUGCCUUUUGGUUCGGAAUAACUCCGGGAAACUGGAGCUAAUACCGGAUGGUACCUACGGGAUAAAGCUUUAUCGCCAAAAGAUGAGUCCGCGCACGAUUAGCUAGUUGGUGAGGUAAUGGCUCACCAAGGCGACGAUCGUUAGCUGGUCUGAGAGGACGAUCAGCCACACUGGGACUGAGACACGGCCCAGACUCCUACGGGAGGCAGCAGUGGGGAAUAUUGGACAAUGGGGGCAACCCUGAUCCAGCCAUGCCGCGUGAGUGAUGAAGGCCUUCGGGUUGUAAAGCUCUUUUGGCGGGGACGAUGAUGACGGUACCCGCAGAAUAAGCCCCGGCUAACUUCGUGCCAGCAGCCGCCGUAA